Molecule: small RNA, 129 nt
Filed under: Pantoea dispersa
Lineage: Bacteria; Pseudomonadati; Pseudomonadota; Gammaproteobacteria; Enterobacterales; Erwiniaceae
Description: RtT sRNA
Rfam family: RtT RNA
About the family: This family represents a bacterial cis-regulatory element known as RtT RNA. The exact function of RtT is unknown although it is thought that it may be involved in changing the cellular response in relation to amino acid starvation.
Source: RNAcentral
UUUUCGUCUGUGGUAAAGAGGAUGAGCACCUCCGAAGGAGGUUUGCGCCGGGCGAAGCGAGACAACGUUGCGUCAGCAACGGCCCGAAGGGCGCUUCUCCUGAGAAGCGUCAUCCUCUCUCGCCGACCA